AUACGGAGGGUGCGAGCGUUAAUCGGAAUUACUGGGCGUAAAGCGUACGUAGGCGGUUUGUUAAGUUAGAUGUGAAAGCCCCGGGCUUAACCUGGGAACUGCAUUUAAAACUGGCAGACUAGAGUUUGAUAGAGGAGAGUGGAAUUUCAGGUGUAGCGGUGAAAUGCGUAGAGAUCUGGAGGAACAUCAGUGGCGAAGGCGACUCUCUGGAUUAAAACUGACGCUGAGGUACGAAAGCGUGGGUAGCAAACAGGAUUAGAUACCCUAGUAGUCC
Molecule: ribosomal RNA, 274 nt
Filed under: uncultured bacterium
Lineage: Bacteria
Description: partial 16S ribosomal RNA
Rfam family: Bacterial small subunit ribosomal RNA
Source: RNAcentral